CAAGUCGAGGGGUAACAGAGGUAGCUUGCUACUUGCUGACGACCGGCGCACGGGUGCGUAACGCGUAUACAAUCUGCCUUAUACAGAGGGAUAGCCUUUAGAAAUGAAGAUUAAUACCGCAUGGUCUAUUAAUAUAGCAUUAUAUAAAUAGUAAAGCUUCGGCGGUAUAAGAUGAGUAUGCGUCCUAUUAGUUAGUUGGUAAGGUAACGGCUUACCAAGACAACGAUAGGUAGGGGCCCUGAGAGGGGGAUCCCCCACACUGGUACUGAGACACGGACCAGACUCCUACGGGAGGCAGCAGUGAGGAAUAUUGGACAAUGGAGGUAACUCUGAUCCAGCCAUGCCGCGUGCAGGAAGACGGCCCUAUGGGUUGUAAACUGCUUUUAUAUAGGAAGAAACCUUUUCACGUGUGAGAAGCUGACGGUACUAUAAGAAUAAGGACCGGCUAACUCCGUGCCAGCAGCCGCGGUAAUACGGAGGGUCCGAGCGUUAUCCGGAAUCAUUGGGUUUAAAGGGUCCGUAGGCGGGAAUCUAAGUCAGUGGUGAAAUCUUACAGCUCAACUGUAAAAUUGCCAUUGAUACUGGGUUUCUUGAAUUAGUGUGAAGUGAUUAGAAUGUGUAGUGUAGCGGUGAAAUGCAUAGAUAUUACA
RNAcentral lists this ribosomal RNA (650 nucleotides) under uncultured bacterium. RNAcentral's name for it is "bacterial SSU rRNA". It matches the Rfam family "Bacterial small subunit ribosomal RNA", at positions 58 to 701 of the family's 1533-position model. The record is from RNAcentral.